This 482-nucleotide ribosomal RNA is filed under the name uncultured bacterium. RNAcentral describes it as "partial 16S ribosomal RNA". It matches the Rfam family "Bacterial small subunit ribosomal RNA", at positions 30 to 506 of the family's 1533-position model. The record is from RNAcentral.
UUGAACGCUGGCGGCAGGCCUCACCCCUGCAAGUCGAGCGGAUGAAGGGAGCUUGCUCCUGGAUUCAGCGGCGGACGGGUAAGUAAUGCCUAGGAAUCUGCCUGGUAGUGGGGGAUAACGUCCGGAAACGGGCGCUAAUACCGCAUACGUCCUGAGGGAGAAAGUGGGGGAUCUUCGGACCUCACGCUAUCAGAUGAGCCUAGGUCGGAUUAGCUAGUUGGUGGGGUAAAGGCCUACCAAGGCGACGAUCCGUAACUGGUCUGAGAGGAUGAUCAGUCACACUGGAACUGAGACACGGUCCAGACUCCUACGGGAGGCAGCAGUGGGGAAUAUUGGACAAUGGGCGAAAGCCUGAUCCAGCCAUGCCGCGUGUGUGAAGAAGGUCUUCGGAUUGUAAAGCACUUUAAGUUGGGAGGAAGGGCAGUAAGUUAAUACCUUGCUGUUUUGACGUUACCAACAGAAUAAGCACCGGCUAACUUCGU